GAGGGUAUAGCUCAAGUGGUAGAGCGCUUGCUUAGCAUGUAUGAGGUCCUGGGUUCAAUCCCCAGUGCUUCCU
RNAcentral lists this transfer RNA (73 nucleotides) under Camelus bactrianus (Bactrian camel). It matches the Rfam family "tRNA". Rfam says of the family: Transfer RNA (tRNA) molecules are approximately 80 nucleotides in length. Lineage: Eukaryota; Metazoa; Chordata; Mammalia; Artiodactyla; Camelidae. The record is from Rfam by way of RNAcentral. RNAcentral also lists the same sequence under 2 other names.